Molecule: ribosomal RNA, 568 nt
Filed under: uncultured archaeon
Lineage: Archaea
Description: bacterial SSU rRNA
Rfam family: Archaeal small subunit ribosomal RNA
Source: RNAcentral
CGGGGUGCACCAGGCGCGAAAACUUUACAAUGCUGGAAACAGCGAUAAGGGGACCUCGAGUGCCAGGUUACAAAUCUGGCUGUCGUGAUGCCUAAAAAGCAUUGCAUAGCAAGGGCCGGGCAAGACCGGUGCCAGCCGCCGCGGUAACACCGGCGGCUCGAGUGGUAACCGUUAUUAUUGGGUCUAAAGGGUCUGUAGCCGGCCGGAUAAGUCUCUUGGGAAAUCCAGCAGCUCAACUGUUGGGCUUUCAGGAGAUACUGUCUGGCUCGAGGCCGGGAGAGGUGAGAGGUACUUCAGGGGUAGGGGUGAAAUCUUGUAAUCCUUGAAGGACCACCAGUGGCGAAGGCGUCUCACCAGAACGGACCUGACGGCAAGGGACGAAAGCUAGGGGCACGAACCGGAUUAGAUACCCGGGUAGUCCUAGCCGUAAACGAUACUCGCUAGGUGUCGGCCACGGUGCGACCGUUGUCGGUGCCGUAGGGAAGCCGUGAAGCGAGCCACCUGGGAAGUACGGCCGCAAGGCUGAAACUUAAAGGAAUUGGCGGGGGAGCACAAGGGCGAAUCGCGG